UGCCACAGCCAUAUCACACUGCAGCCCAAGACUGGUUGCCCACUGAAGCUAAGCAGGGUUGAGCCUGGUCAGUACCUGGAUGGGAGACCUCCUGGGAAAACUAUACUGUCAAAA
This 114-nucleotide ribosomal RNA is filed under the name Sinocyclocheilus grahami. Lineage: Eukaryota; Metazoa; Chordata; Actinopteri; Cypriniformes; Cyprinidae. The record is from RNAcentral.